CCUGCUCCCGCGCCACAGUUUAAGCCCCUAGGCUUCUUUCUUCCCGCGUCGCGCGCUCGGGCUCCUCGCUAGCCCCUGAGAAGUCGCAUCGCUGGACCGUUGGAGGAAUUUGCAUUUUCUUUGAGGCCUAAUGAAUACGAAUUAGCUCCCCGACGACUACAUAUCCCGGAGGGCCCUGCGCGAGCUUCGAGCAGUGCAUUCUGGGACUCGUGGUUCCUGCGUCUGCAGCAAGCCUGCCGGUACUUGUGGUCCCUCCGCCCUCCGGUCGCCCGACUGCGCCCUUGCAUGGAAUGGUGGGACUUGUAGUUCAGAUGCCGCGGUCGGCUGCUCCCGGCGAGGCUCCAGCUACUGCUCUGGCCGUGUUCCCCCGAGUAACAGCGGGUGCUCAGGGGUCCCUAGGGCCGUCACAGGCUCGAGGGCACAGUCCUGGAAAAAUAUAUAUUAAUUACACGUGAUGUAUAUUUUAUAUGUAAUUGAUGUUAGUUAUGUAUCGUGUAUAAUAUAGGGACUAUUAUAUAUGAAAAACAUAGUAUGAAUUUGGCUGUAUUUAUAGAGCAUAAAAGUGCGUUUGUGGGUACUCGUAGGAAAAAAAUUUCCAAACUAUAGCCAGUUCCCAGAAAUGUUAUUCCUGCUUACUGGUAUUGCUGGGAUUACCACUGCUUUUUCAUUUUUCUUCUUUAUACUCGCCUCUGUUUUCUGAGUUGUUUACAACGAGCUAAAAUUCAUUUGAUCCUCCAAACACGAAACGGUGGACCUAUUUUCAUUCGGAAAGGAAAACGCUGUACCGUUAGUUUCCUGCCCACUUCUCUUUCGCCAAUAAUAACACCAUACUCAGGGCAGUAACCAGCUGUGCGGCCUUGGGUAACCUUGUUGCGUUAGGGGCUCUUCAAGAAAUAGCCCUCGGGGGUCUCCUGAGACUGGUCACUGGAUUCCUCUGCAGGAAAAGUGCCCUAAAGAAAUUCCAAAGAACCACAAAAGGUCAGCGCUGGGAAGAUCCUGAUAAUGAAAUGAGAUCUGUCCUGUUCAGAGGUUUAUUUACUUUUCCCUUUGCUGCCCAGGAAGCUCAAAUAGACGAAGGUGUGCCGUAUUGACAGCUGAUUAACCAUGGUUUACAAAAAAUUAAAUAGCUAGAAAUUAGCGAAGACAACUGCCUACCAAUGAAAGUUGACUUCCCUACCACAGGGGACUCUUCUCCUUGCCAUCAGUCCUUACAAGAAUCCAAUCCAGGGAAUUCCCCGGUGGUCCAGUGGUUAGGACUCCACACUCUCACUGCUGAGGGCCAGGGUUCAAUCCCUGGUCGGGGAACUAAGAUCCCACGAGCCACACAGCGCAGCCAAAAAUAUAUAUAUAUAUAAAGAAUCCAAUCCAAGUUCCUGGAGUUAACUAGGCUGAAGUCACAUCACUGGGGGCUUUAUGGAAAGAGACGGGGGUGCAUGCUGGCCUGGAUGGUACCAGACACGGGGGACCACGUGGAUGUGCGUGCGCCAGGCGUUUGCAAAGAUCUCCAAGGCCCCUUCUUCAAAACCGUGCAGAGCCCACUUCAGGCACACCCUGGAAUCCUUAGAAGGUCCUGUUCCUGAAGAUGCACCAGCAUGGAGAACAGACGCAGUGCAGUGAACCCAGGCAGGUGAUGACCGUCAGGACAGCACUGCUGGUUUGACGUCCAUGUAAAGACAAAAUUUCAGCUACAAAGCAUCCCCUCAGGCUCUUCAGAUCGGGAAUCAGCAGAUCCAUAAAAUCAAUAAAAGUGUAUGCCGAAAAUCAUGGUAUAAAAAAUCCAGUGGAGAAGCCAAAGAAAUUACUGUGAAUAACACAUGUAGAAACUUCCGUGCGUUUUCAAGAUUUUUGCCCAAUGUGAGUUUUUCUUUCUUUCUUUCUUUCCUUCUUUCCUCCUUUCUUUCUUUUUCUUUCUUUUUUUUUUUUUUUACUAGAAUAGAAUUUUUUUAUGAAUAGCGUAUGUAUCUUUUGGGAUCUUAAAGUACUUUGGAGAGCAUUUGGUUGCAUUUAGGAGUGAAUUUGAAUUUCUAUCAUAUAAGAAUAAAGCACUGGGAGUUCCCUGGUGGUCCAGUGGUUAAGACUCCGCACUCCCACUGCAGGGGGCGCGGGUUCGAUCGAUCCCUGGUCCGGGGACUAAGAUCCCACAUGCUGUGUGGUGCAGCCAAAAAGAAAAUAGAAAGAAAAAAAGAAGAAGAAAGCAUUAUUUGAAAAGAGUAAUGCCAAGAAAUUUGAAGGAUCUUAUAGAAAGGUGGGCUCCAAACUUUUUUGAUCACACACUCAUUUCAGCAAAAAGAUUUUGGGUCUGCCCCUCCAACGCAUGUGUAUUUAUGUAUGAAUUAGAUCCAUGUAUCAGAUACUAAUGUACUGUGUACUCUAUGAAACAUGUGAAAAAUAGAAAUUAUAAAAGGUGA
Balaenoptera acutorostrata (minke whale) is the source of this 2408-nucleotide long non-coding RNA. RefSeq lists it as uncharacterized. Lineage: Eukaryota; Metazoa; Chordata; Mammalia; Artiodactyla; Balaenopteridae. The transcript is spliced from 3 exons. The record is from RefSeq and is a predicted model, not a curated record.